UGGAGAAGGCAACGAUUUAUACCCUGGCGGCCAAUACUUUGACCCACUCGGCUUAGCUGAUGACCCUACAACAUUUGCAGAACUCAAGGUGAAGGAGAUCAAGAACGGAAGAUUGGCGAUGUUCUCCAUGUUCGGAUUCUUCGUUCAAGCUAUUGUCACCGGCAAAGGCCCUCUUGAGAACCUAUUGGACCACCUUGACAACCCUGUUGCUAAUAAUGCUUGGGUUUAUGCCACUAAAUUUGUUCCUGGAUCUUAAGAUUUAUGUUUCAAUUCUUCUAAAGUACUUUUGUGUAACUGAACCAUUGAGAAAUGCAAAUAUGCUGUAGAUGAAAUAAUUUUGAGUUGAGUCGUAUUCUUUGAGAGUAACAUUUUACACUGUCAACUUGUUUAAAUGGUCUUCUAGAUUCUCAAUUACUCUUUUUAAUGGGAAUGAAAAAAUAGUGUCAUGUAUCAAAUUGAUAUGAAUAAAUGAAUGCACUCUAACUAGAAAGAUAAACCUGUACGGGUCAAAA
Molecule: long non-coding RNA, 512 nt
Filed under: Capsicum annuum
Lineage: Eukaryota; Viridiplantae; Streptophyta; Magnoliopsida; Solanales; Solanaceae
Description: long non-coding RNA (CANN_LNC005266)
Source: RNAcentral